AAAAUUGAUAGUUUAAAUAUUGCGAAAUCGAUUGCACGAUUUUCACAGUUUAAUGGCUGCUCGAUUGGCAAGAAAUUGAAUGCUCAAAUGUUCACACUUACAGCCCUACAAAAUAUUCUUUUCCAUAUUUGUAAACCACAUUUUUGGUUCGGUUUAGUUUUUGCGGUUUCAGGCAAAGCAUUUUGUGGUCUGGGGUAAGAAAUGUUGCAACCUUUUUUGUUGCAUAAAUGUGUAAAUAUUUAUAUAUGUAGGCGAGUCCUUUGCCUGUCUGCCUGCCAUGACAUACUUAGCUGGCUGCAAUCAAGGCACCGUCAUAUUUGGCCACAAUAUCUUGGGCUCAGCCCGACAGCACCCUGAAGAGCUGGAAAGUUACCUUAAUGAAAAACUAAAUUGUCAAUCAGCCAUGAAUUGAAUCAAAUGAAGUGUAAAAUUACAAUUUCAUCCAAUUUGCAAUUAACUCAAUGAGAAGAUGGCAACAAAAAAGAAAAAUAAAAAUCAGAAGAAGGAGAAGGAGAAGCAGCAUUUUUUUUUCCAAUUUCAAAUUAUUCCAAUGGAACGCACAUGCUGCAGCUGGACGAGUACGAAAGGGUCUGCCAUUGGCUCUGUGUGUGUGUGUGUGUGUGUGGCACUUUCACUGUGUACAACAAACUGCAGUUACAACAGCAUCAGAGGACAACACUUUUGCGGUGGCUCAAAUCGCUGACAUCAUUCGCGGACAGUUUCUUGCAGGGUUCUACCUUGCUGCUGCCACUGGAAAAGUGCAAGUUUAAUUGCAUUGAGUGUAACUAGUUAAUGGCUGAAACUGCAAAUUGAAAUGGUGACAAAGUAAUUGAGGUCAGCAACUCCCCGAAUGCCAGCAGCAGCAGCGGCAUCACCGACUACCAUCGAAGCGCUAAUUACAAAAACGAUCCGAACAGCACAGGACACUCUGCCGCUGCCAAUGGGGUCACUUGGCUGUGUCUUUUUUGGUGCCAGCAAUAACUGAAAAUAUCCAUGCACCCAGCCAGGCAGCAGCAAAAAAGUUGUGCGAAAUUGUCAAAGUUCUACGGUUAGUCCGCUCGGGGAACUGUCUCUCUGUCUGUCUGUCUGUCUGUCUGUCUCUGAAAACAUUUACAAAUUGAUUUUUUGUUGCCGCUGCUGUCAUGUUGCAAAAAUAUAUAUUUUUGGUCAGCCGCAAUGGGACUACCUAAAACACAACCAACCAACCAACCAACCGACCGACCACCUGAUGUAUUUAAUGGCACAAUAAUAAAAUGUCCAUAAUAAAACGCGCAAUUUGCAUUUGCACUAAAUGCGCGCUAAACAAAACUCAAAAAGCAGCUAAUGCCGCGGCAUUAACAUUUGGCAUUUGACUCUGACCCGCGGCCAAAUGCAUUUUAAUGCGACACGCAAAUCAGCGGAGCUUAGAUGCAACGAAAGCUAACGCUGCGUAUGCGCAAUGUGACAGCGGUUGAGGCUGAAUGUGCAAUGCAGGAGGCACUCAACCAAAAGUUGUGUAAGGUUCGACACUGCAGCAGACUGCAGAAAUGCCAGUGAAAUAUAUGGAGGAAUAAAGAAAACAAUUUGCAGAUUUUUAGGCAAUAUUUUUGUAGCUUUUAUUGAUAAUUUUUUGAGUUGAUUGCCAUGUUUGGAGUCCUUUGGCGCAGAGUGGGUACAUUUAGAGGUAUAUUUUCAUCACAUAUUAUUAAGUUAAUUUUCUAUUAUAAGCCGCCUCCGACUGUACCUUGCUAAAAGAAUUUGUUACCUUUUUUGCCACUUAAAAAUUACACAAAAAUGUCACAAAACAAAUAUCAAUAGAUAGGAGAUAACUCUUCAAAGCUGCGACACAAAUAAAUACAAUAAGCUUUUGCCACUUUAUUUGCGCUUAUCGAAAUAUACUCGAAUUAUGAUUAAUUUUUUCUUAAUUACAACCAAAUUAGCGCACUUUCAGCUGUUUGCAACAAUCAAUCAAUCAAUCAAACGCGUAUUAAGUUAAGCAUUCCCA
RNAcentral lists this long non-coding RNA (1984 nucleotides) under Drosophila guanche. Lineage: Eukaryota; Metazoa; Arthropoda; Insecta; Diptera; Drosophilidae. The record is from RNAcentral.